UGAGAUUCUUCUCAGCCUCUCUGGGCAGCAUUCCUUCCUUACAUGAGUCAGGACCCUCUCUGGAAUGGGGGUCUUCUGACCUAUGAUCAAACAAAGGUUAACAAAAUCGAGAAAGGAGAUGGCUUUCCCUCAAAACCCCUCUCCCCAUCCCCACGCAGAAUUAACCACACCGUCCCCUCUGGAAGAGGACACGGCGCACCAUGUCCUCCGCAUGGGACGCCCGCGGAGACCCCCCGGCCUCCGGGUGCUUGCGGAAUUCCAGGGCUGAGCUAGGUGGAGCCCCGAGGGCGGGAAGAAGCCACCAUGGGAGUUGCCCCUGCGUCGGGGCGUGUCCUCGGUGUUUCCACCCGAAAAGUGGUGACAACUGGGGCUUGCCUGCUCCACCGAGCUCCUGCCAGGGGCGUGGGCGUCCGACCCUUCUGGCUCAGGCUCCGCGAGUGCGCAAAAGUUGGGAGGCUUCAGUGCCUGGCAGUGGGUGGACGCCAAAGACCUGAUCUCUACUCAUAGGUUCACCCCAGCUCAGGGGGUGUCCCCCAGCAAACGACUUCCCUGCUCUGGGCCUCGAUUUACCCAUCUGUAAAAUAAAAGGGUGAGAUUGGAACCUGGUGGUCACUAGCCCGCCGCUAAAUUUCCUUCCAGCUCCCUGAUACACUUUCUCAGCCUAUGAAGACUAUCGAAUGGGUUAUUUACCUGAGAGUGCUUUGAAAAAAUGUAAGCUGCUUCCAAGAUGCUUAUAACUGAGUAGAUAAAAAUCGCCUACAGACGAAACUACUCAGGACAUCCAAAAAAAUUCUAUCUAAAGUAACAGUAUACAUAGUUUAGUACAUGUUUAUAUACCCUGUACAGUAACAUGUAUAAUGUAAACUGUAAUACUUAGCAUAUAUAACGUUUUUUAAAAACACAAGAGAUGAUAAAAUGAAACUGUGCCUAUAGUUGUGAUCAUGUGAGCUGUCCUUGUAGAAUCUAACUCCCGCUGGAAAUAUAUUCUGAGCACAGCUGUACACACAAUUGCUAAAAGGUGUCUACCUCUAGUAUUCAUUCAUUCAUUCAUUCCACCAAUAUUUAUGAAGAAAAUACUAAUUUUAAAAAUUCUCAAUACUAUUAUUAUUAUUUUUGUAGAGACAGGGCCUUGCUAUGUUGCCCAGGGUAGUCUUGAACUUCUGUCUCAAGCCAUCCUUCCCCCUCAGCCUCUCAAAGUGCUGGGAUUACGGGUGUGGGCCACCAUGCCUGGCCAAUUGAGCAAAUACUGUAUGUGAGGAAAUAGACUGAAGAUUCAGAGUUGAACUUUCUACUGGGGAAGAUCAUAAACAAAUAAAGUAAUAAACAUACAAUAUAAUGUUGGGUAGUGAAAAGUGCUUUGAAAAAGAUAAAGCAGAGUAAGGGGCUAGAGAGAGAUGGGUUGGUGCUUCUUAAGAGAGGGUGGUCAGGGAAGUCAUCCCUAAGAAGGUUUGAGCAGAGAGUCUCGUGAAUUUUGUGACAGGACUGCAGGACGAUGCCUGGGUCCGGUGAGGAAAGGAGCUCCCCAUGCAGCAAGGAGAUAUGUGGCAAAAGCCAGGGAGGUCCCAUGUGGAGAAGAAGAUUAGUCUUUAGGUGGUGGGGCACGACAACUGCCUUCAAAUUCUUGCAGAAUAGUCAUAUAGAACAGUGGCUUUCAAACCUUUUGACUGUGACUCAUGGUAAAUGCAUUUUAUAUUGUGACCCAGCAUGCACACACGCAUAUGACAAACUAAAACUUCACAAAAGACUACAGACUAUGACUUGCAUUUUGAAAAUCACCAAUGUGGAAGAGAAAUGAGACUUACUUUGAGUUGGUUCCAAGGGUGGGAAUUAGGACGGAUAGAAAAAGAAAAAAAGAGAGAGAGAAUCAGCUUUGAUACAGGAAGGAACUUUCUAGCAAUUAGAACUGUCCAACAGUGAACUUCCCCCAGGAGUUUUUAAACUGUGUUCUGAUGAAACCUAGCAUUCUGUGAAUAUUCAAGAGAGUCAAAUAUUUGCCCCCACCCAGCCAUCCCUUAUUUGCUUUAUAUUUUGAAAACUAUAUGCAAUAUUGUAACUUCAGAAACCCAACCAGGUAAGGCACGGUGGCUCACUGUAAUCCCAGUGCUUUGGGAAGCUGAGGUGAGAAGAUCACUUGAGGCUAGGAUUUCGAGACCAUCCUGGGCAGCAUAGGUGAGACAUUGUCUUUACAAAAAAUUUUAAAACUAGCCAGGUGUGGUGGCAGGUGUCUGUAGUCCUAGCUACUCUGGAGGCUGAGGUGGGAGGAUCACUUGAGCCUAGGAGUUUGAGGUUGCAGUAAGCUAUGAUUGCACCACUGCACUCUAGCAAGUGGACGACACAGCAAGAUCCUAUUUCUAAAAAUAAUAAUAACAAACCAAUCAUACCCACUCGGGUGCUAAAUGUCAAAAUUUAGCAAGUUAAUAUUUAGUGUGUGCUGCCUGAGAGGUUAUUAUAGAGGUUAAGGAGUGAGUAGAAGUCAGACUUCCUGAGUUCAAAGCCUGAUUCCACUUUUCUUCUAAUGUGACUUUGGGCAAGUCACUUAACCCCCCACCAAACUUAAGUUUUCUCAUCUGUAAAAAGUGGGGAUUAUACCUCACUGGAUUAUUAUAAAAAUUGCAUAAGG
This 2620-nucleotide long non-coding RNA is filed under the name Homo sapiens (human). Its description in RNAcentral is "non-protein coding lnc-STPG1-2:1". Lineage: Eukaryota; Metazoa; Chordata; Mammalia; Primates; Hominidae. The record is from RNAcentral.